This 482-nucleotide ribosomal RNA is filed under the name uncultured bacterium. Its description in RNAcentral is "partial 16S ribosomal RNA". It matches the Rfam family "Bacterial small subunit ribosomal RNA", at positions 30 to 507 of the family's 1533-position model. The record is from RNAcentral.
AUUGAACGCUGGCGGCAUGCCUUACACAUGCAAGUCGAACGGUAACGGGCCUUCGGGUGCCGACGAGUGGCGCACGGGUGAGUAAUACAUCGGAACGUGCCCGAUCGUGGGGGAUAACGCGUCGAAAGCUUUGCUCAAAUCGCAUACGAUCUACGGAUGAGAGCGGGGGAGCGCAAGGCCCUGCGCGGACUGAGCGGCCGAUGGGGGAUUAGGUAGUUGGUGGGAUAAAAGCUUACCAAGCCGACGAUCUGUAGCUGGUCUGAGAGGAUGAUCAGUCACACUGGGACUGAGACACGGCCCAGACUCCUACGGGAGGCAGCAGUGGGGAAUUUUGGACAAUGGGCGCAAGCCUGAUCCAGCCAUGCCGCGUGCAGGAUGAAGGCCUUCGGGUUGUAAACUGCUUUUGUACGGAACGAAAAGCCUUCUUUUAAUACAGGAGGGUCAUGACGGUACCGUAAGAAUAAGCACCGGCUAACUACGUG